UAUAUUUGCAAAAAUUUUGGUUUCCAAGAGAUUGGAACUAAGAGGGAAUUGGGUGAAACUCCCAAGCUGUCCCCGCAACUGUAAAUCGCAUAAUCAAUUUCUACAAAAAACCACUGCCAAAACGGGAAGGUGUAGCAAAGCGAAAGUCAGGAGACCUGCCGGAAUUUUAAUAUUAAUA
Molecule: non-coding RNA, 178 nt
Filed under: Chryseobacterium sp. 8AT
Lineage: Bacteria; Pseudomonadati; Bacteroidota; Flavobacteriia; Flavobacteriales; Weeksellaceae
Source: RNAcentral